Molecule: long non-coding RNA, 311 nt
Filed under: Carica papaya (papaya)
Lineage: Eukaryota; Viridiplantae; Streptophyta; Magnoliopsida; Brassicales; Caricaceae
Description: long non-coding RNA (CPAP_LNC006668)
Source: RNAcentral
UUGCAAGGUUAUUAAGCCUAGUUAAUGUAAAUAUAAAUGUUGUGUCAUAUUUGUAUUUUAUAGCUUGCAAAUCCAUCAUAUUUCUUGCUUGGUUCAUAUCUCAAAAGGAAAAAUAAUUAACUCUAUAAUUAAGAAAGGUCUCACAAGGGACAUAAUUGCAAGAUAAUCAAUGAAAAUGCCACCAAGGAGCCAAAAGUGAAACCCAACUAAGCUUAUAUUUAUUUAUUUUACAUAUCAUAAAUCUUCCGUAUACACUAAAAUUGCACAAUUCAAAUUAGAAUUGAAAAAGUUUUGAAUUUUCAAAAACCUGU